GACGAACGCUGGCGGCGUGCUUAACACAUGCAAGUCGAACGGAAAGGCCUGCUUUCCCUUGUGGAUUGCGGGUACUCGAGUGGCGAACGGGUGAGUAACACGUGAGUGAUCUGCCCCCAACUUGGGUAUAAGCCUGGGAAACUGGGUCUAAUUCCCGAUAGGACUGCAGGGUGGUGCCUGUGGUGGAAAACGAUUUUCUAGUGGUUGGGGAUGAGCUCGCGGCCUAUCAGCUUGUUGGUGGGGUAAUGGCCUACCAAGGCGGCGACGGGUAGCCGGCCUGAGAGGGUGGACGGCCACAUUGGGACUGAGAUACGGCCCAGACUCCUACGGGAGGCAGCAGUGGGGAAUAUUGCACAAUGGGCGGAAGCCUGAUGCAGCGACGCCGCGUGGGGGAUGACGGCCUUCGGGUUGUAAACUCCUUUCGACCGCGAGGAAGCCACCUGGUUGGAAGGGUGGUGACGGUAGUGGUAGAAGAAACACCGGCUAACUACGU
Molecule: ribosomal RNA, 493 nt
Filed under: uncultured bacterium
Lineage: Bacteria
Description: partial 16S ribosomal RNA
Rfam family: Bacterial small subunit ribosomal RNA
Source: RNAcentral